AGAGGAGGUGCAUGGCCGUCGUCAGUUCGUACUGUGAAGCAUCCUGUUAAGUCAGGCAACGAGCGAGACCCACGCCAACAGUUGCCAGCUCGUCCUCCGGGAUGGUGGGGACACUGUUGGGACCGCUCUGCUAAAGAGGAGGAAGGAAUGGGCAACGGUAGGUCAGCAUGCCCCGAAUUAUCUGGGCUACACGCGGGCUACAAUGGGUGGGACAAUGGGUAUCGACACCGAAAGGUGAAGGCAAUCUCCUAAACCCAUCCGUAGUUCGGAUUGUGGGCUGCAACUCGCCCACAUGAAGCUGGAAUCUGUAGUAAUCGUGUCUCAAAAUGGCACGGUGAAUAUGUCCCUGCUCCUU
Molecule: ribosomal RNA, 355 nt
Filed under: uncultured Methanomicrobiales archaeon
Lineage: Archaea; Methanobacteriati; Methanobacteriota; Methanomicrobia; Methanomicrobiales
Description: bacterial SSU rRNA
Rfam family: Archaeal small subunit ribosomal RNA
Source: RNAcentral